This 74-nucleotide transfer RNA is filed under the name Nicotiana sylvestris (wood tobacco). It matches the Rfam family "tRNA". From Rfam's summary of the family: Transfer RNA (tRNA) molecules are approximately 80 nucleotides in length. Their secondary structure includes four short double-helical elements and three loops (D, anti-codon, and T loops). Further hydrogen bonds mediate the characteristic L-shaped molecular structure. tRNAs have two regions of fundamental functional importance: the anti-codon, which is responsible for specific mRNA codon recognition, and the 3' end, to which the tRNAs corresponding amino acid is attached (by aminoacyl-tRNA synthetases). tRNAs cope with the degeneracy of the genetic code in two manners: having more than one tRNA (with a specific anti-codon) for a particular amino acid; and 'wobble' base-pairing, i.e. permitting non-standard base-pairing at the 3rd anti-codon position. RNAcentral also lists the same sequence under 1 other name. Lineage: Eukaryota; Viridiplantae; Streptophyta; Magnoliopsida; Solanales; Solanaceae. The record is from Rfam by way of RNAcentral.
GGGCUUAUAGUUUAAUUAGUUGCAACGUACCGCUAAUAACGGUAUUAUUGUAAGUUCGAGCCCCACUAAGCCUA